This 876-nucleotide ribosomal RNA is filed under the name uncultured Candidatus Poseidoniales archaeon. RNAcentral describes it as "bacterial SSU rRNA". It matches the Rfam family "Archaeal small subunit ribosomal RNA", at positions 22 to 903 of the family's 1478-position model. The record is from RNAcentral. Lineage: Archaea; Methanobacteriati; Thermoplasmatota; Candidatus Poseidoniia; Candidatus Poseidoniales.
GGCUACCGCUAUUGGAGUUCGAUUAAGCCAUGCGAGUCGAGAGUCUUAGGGACUCGGCGUACCGCUCAGUAACACGUGGGUAACCUGCCCUAUGCUGGGGAAUAACCUCGGGAAACUGAGAAUAAUGCCCCAUAGUCCACAAUGCCUGGAACGGUUUGUGGAUCAAAGCUCCGGCGGCAUAGGAUGGGCCUGCGGCGUAUCAGGUUGUAGGGGGUGUAACGUACCCUCUAGCCAUCAACGCGUACGGGUGUUGGGAGACAUAGCCCGGAGAUGGAUUCUGAGACACGAAUCCAGACCCUACGGGGUGCAGCAGGCGCGAAAACUUGGCAAUGCGAGAAAUCGUGACCAGGGAACUCCAAGUGGCUGGGGUAAGACCCAGUCUUUUCUUGACUCUUCAAAGGUCUUGGAAUAAGGGGUGGGUAAGGACGGUGCCAGCCGCCGCGGUAAUACCGGCGCCUCAAGUGGUAGUCGAUUUUAUUGGGCCUAAAACGUCCGUAGCCUGUUUGGUACAUUCGUGGGUAAAUCAACCAGCUCAACUGGUUGAAUUCUGCGAGCACGGCCAGACUUGGGACCGGGAGAGGUGUGGGGUACGCUCAGGGUAGGGGUAAAAUCCUGUCAUCCUGAGCGGACCACCUGUUGCGAAGGCGCCACACUAGAACGGAUCCGACGGUCAGGGACGAAGCCUAGGGGCACGAACCGGAUUAGAUACCCGGGUAGUCCUAGGUGUAAACGCUGUGGACUUGGUGUUGGGGACUCUCCGAGAAUCCUCAGUGCCGAAGCGAAGGUGAUAAGUCCACUGCCUGGGGAGUACGGUCGCAAGGCUGAAACUUAAAGGAAUUGGCGGGGGAGCACCGCAACCUGAGGAUUGUGCGGUUU